RNAcentral lists this ribosomal RNA (603 nucleotides) under Escherichia coli. Its description in RNAcentral is "partial 23S ribosomal RNA". It matches the Rfam family "Bacterial large subunit ribosomal RNA", at positions 1291 to 1879 of the family's 2925-position model. Lineage: Bacteria; Pseudomonadati; Pseudomonadota; Gammaproteobacteria; Enterobacterales; Enterobacteriaceae. The record is from RNAcentral.
CGAAUGCUGACAUAAGUAACGAUAAAGCGGGUGAAAAGCCCGCUCGCCGGAAGACCAAGGGUUCCUGUCCAACGUUAAUCGGGGCAGGGUGAGUCGACCCCUAAGGCGAGGCCGAAAGGCGUAGUCGAUGGGAAACAGGUUAAUAUUCCUGUACUUGGUGUUACUGCGAAGGGGGGACGGAGAAGGCUAUGUUGGCCGGGCGACGGUUGUCCCGGUUUAAGCGUGUAGGCUGGUUUUCCAGGCAAAUCCGGAAAAUCAAGGCUGAGGCGUGAUGACGAGGCACUACGGUGCUGAAGCAACAAAUGCCCUGCUUCCAGGAAAAGCCUCUAAGCAUCAGGUAACAUCAAAUCGUACCCCAAACCGACACAGGUGGUCAGGUAGAGAAUACCAAGGCGCUUGAGAGAACUCGGGUGAAGGAACUAGGCAAAAUGGUGCCGUAACUUCGGGAGAAGGCACGCUGAUAUGUAGGUGAAGUCCCUCGCGGAUGGAGCUGAAAUCAGUCGAAGAUACCAGCUGGCUGCAACUGUUUAUUAAAAACACAGCACUGUGCAAACACGAAAGUGGACGUAUACGGUGUGACGCCUGCCCGGUGCCGGAAGGUUA